Molecule: ribosomal RNA, 447 nt
Filed under: uncultured bacterium
Lineage: Bacteria
Description: bacterial SSU rRNA
Rfam family: Bacterial small subunit ribosomal RNA
Source: RNAcentral
UCGGGAAUUUUGGGCAAUGGGCGAAAGCCUGACCCAGCAACGCCGCGUGAAGGAUGAAGUAUUUCGGUAUGUAAACUUCGAAAGAAUGGGAAGAAUAAAUGACGGUACCAUUUAUAAGCUCCGGCUAACUACGUGCCAGCAGCCGCGGUAAUACGUAGGGAGCAAGCGUUGUUCGGAUUUACUGGGCGUAAAGGGCGCGUAGGCGGCGCGGUAAGUCACUUGUGAAAUCUCUGAGCUUAACUCAGAACGGCCAAGUGAUACUGCAGUGCUAGAGUGCAGAAGGGGCAAUCGGAAUUCUUGGUGUAGCGGUGAAAUGCGUAGAUAUCAAGAGGAACACCUGAGGUGAAGACGGGUUGCUGGGCUGACACUGACGCUGAGGCGCGAAAGCCAGGGGAGCAAACGGGAUUAGAUACCCUCGUAGUCCCUGAGCGGGCUGGCAAGGCGCAU